UAUAAUGACCAAUAUAAUGGCUGACACACAGUUAAGAAUUAUGCGAGUGGCAACUGGGCCAUUGAAAACUCAGCAACAUAAAGAAGAAGAAAUUGUCAUGGAAAUGACUUCAUCUAUCCGUACCUGCUGUCGGACUUUAGGUAGCACCGACUCUGCUCGGACUUUAGUUAGCACUGUAUGUGCAGGAAAUGAAAUUCCAAAUUGGUUCUG
Pyrus x bretschneideri (Chinese white pear) is the source of this 210-nucleotide long non-coding RNA. RefSeq lists it as uncharacterized. The record is from RefSeq and is a predicted model, not a curated record. NCBI's taxonomy places the organism in Eukaryota, Viridiplantae, Streptophyta, Magnoliopsida, Rosales, Rosaceae. The transcript has 2 exons.